RNAcentral lists this ribosomal RNA (727 nucleotides) under uncultured bacterium. Its description in RNAcentral is "bacterial SSU rRNA". It matches the Rfam family "Bacterial small subunit ribosomal RNA", at positions 789 to 1515 of the family's 1533-position model. The record is from RNAcentral.
GGUAGUCCACGCCGUAAACGAUGUCGACUUGGAGGUUGUUCCCUUGAGGAGUGGCUUCCGGAGCUAACGCGUUAAGUCGACCGCCUGGGGAGUACGGCCGCAAGGUUAAAACUCAAAUGAAUUGACGGGGGCCCGCACAAGCGGUGGAGCAUGUGGUUUAAUUCGAUGCAACGCGAAGAACCUUACCUACUCUUGACAUCCAGAGAACUUAGCAGAGAUGCUUUGGUGCCUUCGGGAACUCUGAGACAGGUGCUGCAUGGCUGUCGUCAGCUCGUGUUGUGAAAUGUUGGGUUAAGUCCCGCAACGAGCGCAACCCUUAUCCUUUGUUGCCAGCGGGUAAUGCCGGGAACUCAAAGGAGACUGCCAGUGAUAAACUGGAGGAAGGUGGGGAUGACGUCAAGUCAUCAUGGCCCUUACGAGUAGGGCUACACACGUGCUACAAUGGCGCAUACAAAGAGAAGCGACCUCGCGAGAGCAAGCGGACCUCAUAAAGUGCGUCGUAGUCCGGAUCGGAGUCUGCAACUCGACUCCGUGAAGUCGGAAUCGCUAGUAAUCGUAGAUCAGAAUGCUACGGUGAAUACGUUCCCGGGCCUUGUACACACCGCCCGUCACACCAUGGGAGUGGGUUGCAAAAGAAGUAGGUAGCUUAACCUUCGGGAGGGCGCUUACCACUUUGUGAUUCAUGACUGGGGUGAAGUCGUAACAAGGUAACCGUAGGGGAACCUGC